UACGUAGGGUGCGAGCGUUAAUCGGAAUUACUGGGCGUAAAGCGUGCGCAGGCGGUUGUGUAAGACAGGUGUGAAAUCCCGGCGUAACUGGACGGCGCUUGUGACUGCACGGCUAGAGUACGGCAGAGGGGGGUGGAAUUCCACGUGUAGCAGUGAAAUGCGUAGAUAUGUGGAGGAACACCGAUGGCGAAGGCAGCCCCCUGGGCCAGUACUGACGCUCAUGCACGAAAGCGUGGGGAGCAAACAGGAUUAGAAACCCCGGUAGU
RNAcentral lists this ribosomal RNA (266 nucleotides) under uncultured bacterium. Its description in RNAcentral is "partial 16S ribosomal RNA". It matches the Rfam family "Bacterial small subunit ribosomal RNA", at positions 524 to 794 of the family's 1533-position model. The record is from RNAcentral.